Suricata suricatta (meerkat) is the source of this 889-nucleotide long non-coding RNA. RefSeq lists it as uncharacterized. Lineage: Eukaryota; Metazoa; Chordata; Mammalia; Carnivora; Herpestidae. The transcript has 3 exons. The record is from RefSeq and is a predicted model, not a curated record.
GGUCCGGAUGCCCAGUGCUCCGGGGUCACGGGCCCCUGAUGGCCCUCCGGGGUCACCGGGUCAUGGGCGGCGGCGGGCGGCGGCGGCGGCGUCAGCGACAUGGGGAUGUGGGGAGAACGAACAAGUGGUCCGACCUAGCCCCAAAGCGAGCUCUGGGGCUUUCUCCUGUCUUACUGGCCUCUACCCAAGUCCAGGUUGGGGCAAUAGAACUACAGUUUCGGAAGAAAAGUCCACAUAACUCCACUCGUUCCUUCCCCAACACACCGUUUCCUGAGCUUGCUACCCCCUGAACCUGCCCAGCUGGAUGUGAUGUCCCAGGGGCUUAUGGUCAAGCUAGCUGAUCAGUCUGACUGAUCCAAGGUGCUCGCCAGAUGUUGAAACUGCUGAUAGCCCUAGCAAUCGACCCAUGGGAGGUCACGGGGACAAAGAAAAUAGGAAACGGAGACUGAAAUGGAGCGGCCAGUGCAGUAGGAGGAGCACAGUUUUGAGGAUACCAUCGUGGGAGAGCAAAAUCAAGAGUUAUUAGAGUACUUUAGAUCACCUAUUAUGACAAGAUCCGGUGUGCCUGCGGAGCAACAACUUGGCUACCUAUUAACCAAAGUGACAAUACAGUAUUCUAAAUAACAAGAAGGUCACACAAUUGCAUGGAAUCUUAGAUCUUUCAGAAAUGAGGAACUUUAUGUUUUUGUUGCUUAAUAACCAAGAGCAUGACAAAGUCAGCACAAAACACAGGAGACAGUUUUGAUGGGACAUGAAAUUUCUGCCACACAGAUCACUAAGAAUGUGAAAGAAUAACUAUUUACUAUUCCUUGUUAAGAAAAGGCCCAAUAGUUUAAGAUAAGUUGUCAUUUUAAAUUAUAGAAAACCAAAUUCUAGUUUUAUAUUAAUA